AUGCUGUUCAAGGGAUGGGUGGGCUUGGGUAGGAGAGCAAGGGAUUACAUCACAAUGCUCAGAACGGUGCUCAGUUUUUAUUACCUAGGAAUUGUUUGUUGGUAGAACUUUUUUUCUGAUGAUCAAGUGAAACCACAGACAGUAAAAAUGCAGCAACCAGCAGGAGACCAUGAAGAUAUCCAACUUUACUCAACUUCAAGGCCCAGAAUAACUGAGUGUACAAUCAGAUAGUGACCAAUGCUUGCUGUUGUAACGUACAGAGACAUUUGCUACUCUGGGUCAGAUAUCUUCCCUCUUUUGGACUAUUCUGGGGUCUUGGGAUUUAUGAACCACAUGAAAAUAUGGCAGGUCUAUCUUGCUUCCUUGCUGGAAAGAGACAUCCCUGAUACAGACUGACCUGGCAGCAGAGUGAUUUAAUGGAUUCGAGGUAGGAGAAAAGAGGCAGAGAAACCAGCUUAGCUUCUGAUAAAACAGAGAUAAUUGGGAUUUAUCUACAGGGGUUCUUCAGGCUACAUGUGAGAACCGAUGCACACAGGAAUUCUGAGCUUCCUCAUAUUGACUCUACAAGACAAGGGGAUGCAUGCUAUGAGAUAUAUUUUAAAGGUAGAUCUUCAAACAAGGACACAGAUGCAAGUGAUUCGUCCAGAGAAUAGAAUCAGGCUUGUUCUGCUGGCUUUGCAAUGCAUGAGCAUCACUAUGUCCCUCCAUGGACAGACAAGCUGAGAAGUUUCUUGGUGAGGAAGAUCAGAAGGAUUACAUCUGAGUCAUUUCUACAUUUGGUCUUUCUGGAAUUGUGAGCUUCUCUAAGAUGUUCAAAAAUCAAGGAAGGUUUUUCUCUUCUGUAUCCCAUUGUACCAAGAAAUGAAUAUUUGAAACAAGAUAGUUUAUUGUGGUAUCUUUGACAAGCCAAUUAAACUGAGAGAGAAUGACAAGCAUGGAGCUGCAGCCAGGCAUUCAGUUCAGUCUGCAUAAUCUCUUUCAAGGUCUUCAAACAUUUACUCUGGAGAAAUUGGAAGUACUCGGGCUCAUAAGCCAUUAUGAGCCAGUGCACCGUAGCUGAGAGCAGUUUAUUUAGGUUGAGAGAAGAAGCCCAUCAAGAAACCAAGAGCUCAGGGUCAGGAACUUGACUCUGUAGAUAAAG
Mastomys coucha (southern multimammate mouse) is the source of this 1141-nucleotide long non-coding RNA. RefSeq lists it as uncharacterized. The transcript is spliced from 8 exons. Lineage: Eukaryota; Metazoa; Chordata; Mammalia; Rodentia; Muridae. The record is from RefSeq and is a predicted model, not a curated record.